RNAcentral lists this ribosomal RNA (496 nucleotides) under uncultured bacterium. Its description in RNAcentral is "partial 16S ribosomal RNA". It matches the Rfam family "Bacterial small subunit ribosomal RNA", at positions 29 to 507 of the family's 1533-position model. The record is from RNAcentral.
AUGAACGCUGGCGGCGUGCCUAAUACAUGCAAGUCGAGCGAACAGACGAGGAGCUUGCUCCUCUGACGUUAGCGGCGGACGGGUGAGUAACACGUGGAUAACCUACCUAUAAGACUGGGAUAACUUCGGGAAACCGGAGCUAAUACCGGAUAAUAUAUUGAACCGCAUGGUUCAAUAGUGAAAGACGGUUUUGCUGUCACUUAUAGAUGGAUCCGCGCCGCAUUAGCUAGUUGGUAAGGUAAUGGCUUACCAAGGCAACGAUGCGUAGCCGACCUGAGAGGGUGAUCGGCCACACUGGAACUGAGACACGGUCCAGACUCCUACGGGAGGCAGCAGUAGGGAAUCUUCCGCAAUGGGCGAAAGCUUGACGGAGCAACGCCGCGUGAGUGAUGAAGGUCUUCGGAUCGUAAAACUCUGUUAUUAGGGAAGAACAAAUGUGUAAGUAACUAUGCACGUCUUGACGGUACCUAAUCAGAAAGCCACGGCUAACUACGUG